UACGGAAGGCAGCAGUGGGGAAUAUUGCACAAUGGGCGCAAGCCUGAUGCAGCCAUGCCGCGUGUAUGAAGAAGGCCUUCGGGUUGUAAAGUACUUUCAGCGGGGAGGAAGGCGAUGCGGUUAAUAACCGCGUCGAUUGACGUUACCCGCAGAAGAAGCACCGGCUAACUCCGUGCCAGCAGCCGCGGUAAUACGGAGGGUGCAAGCGUUAAUCGGAAUUACUGGGCGUAAAGCGCACGCAGGCGGUCUGUUAAGUCAGAUGUGAAAUCCCCGGGCUUAACCUGGGAACUGCAUUUUGAAACUGGCAGGCUUGAGUCUUGUAGAGGGGGUAGAAUUCCAGGUGUAGCGGUGAAAUGCGUAGAGAUCUGGAGGGAAUACCGGUGGCGAAGGCGGCCCCUGGGACAAAGACUGACGCUCAGGUGCGAAAGCGUGGGGAGCAAACAGGAUUAGAUACC
RNAcentral lists this ribosomal RNA (455 nucleotides) under uncultured bacterium. RNAcentral describes it as "bacterial SSU rRNA". It matches the Rfam family "Bacterial small subunit ribosomal RNA", at positions 340 to 786 of the family's 1533-position model. The record is from RNAcentral.